RNAcentral lists this unclassified non-coding RNA (217 nucleotides) under Hevea brasiliensis (rubber tree). Lineage: Eukaryota; Viridiplantae; Streptophyta; Magnoliopsida; Malpighiales; Euphorbiaceae. The record is from RNAcentral.
UGUUGGCUUGUGUAUGAACUAUUAUGAUUAUCCCUCAUUCUCUCCUCUAAGUCUUGCGUUAUCAUUUUGCUCUUUGGGUAUCUCAUUGUUAAGUCCCUUCCAACUUAACAGACACAAGUGAUAUGCACGUAAAUUGAGUGUUAGCUCUAAAGGACCUUCUUUUAAGUCUAUUUUAAUUGAGUGCUGCAUUGCCUUCUUGGUUGGGGGUCAAUUUGAG